RNAcentral lists this ribosomal RNA (729 nucleotides) under uncultured marine eukaryote. RNAcentral describes it as "SSU rRNA". It matches the Rfam family "Eukaryotic small subunit ribosomal RNA", at positions 452 to 1185 of the family's 1831-position model. The record is from RNAcentral.
CGACACGGGGAGGUAGUGACAAUAAAUACUGAUACAGGGCUCUUUUGGGUCUUGUAAUUGGAAUGAGUACAAUUUAAAUCCCUUAACGAGGAACAAUUGGAGGGCAAGUCUGGUGCCAGCAGCCGCGGUAAUUCCAGCUCCAAUAGCGUAUAUUAAAGUUGUUGCAGUUAAAAAGCUCGUAGUUGAACCUUGGGCCUGGCUGGCCGGUCCGCCUCACCGCGUGUACUGGUCCGGCCGGGCCUUUCCUUCUGGGGAACCUCAUGCCCUUCACUGGGCGUGUUGGGGAACCAGGACUUUUACUUUGAAAAAAUUAGAGUGUUCAAAGCAGGCCUUUGCUCGAAUACAUUAGCAUGGAAUAAUAGAAUAGGACGUGUGGUUCUAUUUUGUUGGUUUCUAGGACCGCCGUAAUGAUUAAUAGGGAUAGUCGGGGGCAUCAGUAUUCAAUCGUCAGAGGUGAAAUUCUUGGAUUGAUUGAAGACUAACUACUGCAAAAGCAUUUGCCAAGGAUGUUUUCAUUAAUCAGUGAACGAAAGUUAGGGGAUCGAAGACGAUCAGAUACCGUCGUAGUCUUAACCAUAAACUAUGCCGACUAGGGAUCGGACGGUGUUAGUAUUUUGACCCGUUCGGCACCUUACGAGAAAUCAAAGUUUUUGGGUUCUGGGGGGAGUAUGGUCGCAAGGCUGAAACUUAAAGAAAUUGACGGAAGGGCACCACCAGGCGUGGAGCCUG